This is a long non-coding RNA of Balaenoptera acutorostrata (minke whale), 691 nucleotides long. RefSeq lists it as uncharacterized. The record is from RefSeq and is a predicted model, not a curated record. Lineage: Eukaryota; Metazoa; Chordata; Mammalia; Artiodactyla; Balaenopteridae. The transcript has 3 exons.
CAGGGAUCCCUACCUGAACACUGCAGGUGACUUUUACCCUGGGAUUCAGAAAUGUCUACAGGACUGAGCCUGGGCCCGCUAAAGUCACCUGACAACAAAGCUGCUGAAAUAUCUUCCUGACAUGUAUCCCCUACAUGUGUCCAGCUCUAGAUAAUUCACUCAGCAGAUUCAAGUUGCCAAGUCCUGUCAGUUUUCUCUUGGAUGAAGGCUUCCAUUUCCACAACUGCUGCUCUUGUUCAGGGAACAGAAUAGCCACAAGACUGGUUUCCCAAAUAAAUCUACACAGUAUCACCAUAUCAAUCUUGAUGAAACACUGCUUUCAUUAUGUUCCUCUCUCCUGCCACACUAUUCAAUGGCUCCCCAAAGCCUGCAGGGAAAAUUCCAAACUUAGUAGCUUUUUGGUGAAGGCACUCCUCAGUUUAACACCAACAUACUUUUCCAAAUACUUUCACACACAAAUCCUCCAUUUCAAACAAUACAGACUAUUUACUGACCAUCAAAUAAGAAUUCCAAUCUCACACAUUUGCUCACAGACCUGCCAACCUGCCAACCUGCCUUCUAUGAUAGACAUCCAUCCACUGACCUGAGGGGUUCCCUUAUCAGGUAUUUUCUCCCUUCUCUGAACUCCUGUGGCAUUUCAUAGUUGUAUUAAGGAGACAGCAAAUUACCUAUAGAGUAACAACAGGAUGAA